This 497-nucleotide ribosomal RNA is filed under the name uncultured bacterium. Its description in RNAcentral is "partial 16S ribosomal RNA". It matches the Rfam family "Bacterial small subunit ribosomal RNA", at positions 28 to 507 of the family's 1533-position model. The record is from RNAcentral.
GAUGAACGCUGGCGGCGUGCCUAAUACAUGCAAGUCGAGCGAACAGACGAGGAGCUUGCUCCUCUGACGUUAGCGGCGGACGGGUGAGUAACACGUGGAUAACCUACCUAUAAGACUGGGAUAACUUCGGGAAACCGGAGCUAAUACCGGAUAAUAUAUUGAACCGCAUGGUUCAAUAGUGAAAGACGGUUUUGCUGUCACUUAUAGAUGGAUCCGCGCCGCAUUAGCUAGUUGGUAAGGUAACGGCUUACCAAGGCAACGAUGCGUAGCCGACCUGAGAGGGUGCUCGGCCACCCUGGAACUGAGCCACGGUCCAGACUCCUACGGGAGGCAGCAGUAGGGAAUCUUCCGCAAUGGGCGAAAGCCUGACGGAGCAACGCCGCGUGAGUGAUGAAGGUCUUCGGAUCGUAAAACUCUGUUAUUAGGGAAGAACAAAUGUGUAAGUAACUAUGCACGUCUUGACGGUACCUAAUCAGAAAGCCACGGCUAACUACGUG